AAUAGGUAGUAGCUCCUUCAUUUCUUUUCUUAAGCUUUCCUCUCACUUUUCUCUUUGGUUUUUAUACAAAAACCAUGAUCUACGAAGAUCUAACCGUCCAAACACAAAUCUGUCUUCGAUAACGUGAUCUAUGAAGCUCAAUCUACGUUUUCACCGAUCGUUUUGAGGUAAUGGGUUACUUGAAACUUGCUUGGGGCCGCCCAAACCAUAGGUUUUGGUUUGGUGAAAUUUCGUGACACAUUGCAAGGUGGUGCAUAGGAAACUUAGUGCUUUAAUCCGCGCAGCCAAGAUUCCAACUCAAAAACUUCAGAUCCUUUGUUCCCGUCUGGACUGCCCAGUCUUGCGUCCGGACGCCCAUCAGUGUAAAGAAGCUUUUGAACAGUGCCAGGCUGCAUCCGUCUGGACGUCAUGGGAACACGUCCGGAUGCUCUUCAGAGUUCAUGAAGAUUCCAGCUUUUCUUUGCAGACAAGGAGUGGGAAGACAACUUGCACUCGUUUGGAUGACAGGGCAACACCGUCCAAACGCUGACUUGAUAAAGAAAUUGCGUGCAUACAUUCUACAUCUGUCCGGACUGCAGGGCAACACCAUCCGGAUGCGGUCCUUGAUAUGGCAAUUACGUGCAGCCAAGUUGCAACCGUCCGGACUCUAGGGCAACACCGUCUGGAUGCGGCCUUAACAUAGAAAUGUGUGAAGCGCGUUAUGGAACGGCAGUUGCACUGCUGAGAUUCUGGACGCUCUAUGCUUCCGUCUUGACGCCACCUAGAGAAAUCAGAGACACACUCAAUUUAGGUCUUCUUAGCCUAUAAAUAAAGGCCUCUAAGCAUGUAUUCUUUAUAGAAUUUGGUAUUGAAUUCUUUAUAGCUUAGAAAGGGUGUUUAGGGAGAUAUUGUGAAGAUUUGCUAGCUCUCAAGCUGUUGCUGGUGUGCUGUUACUAUGCUCGUGUUGAAGUCUAUCUUAGGGAGGAGCCCUAAGGUAAAUGAAUCCAUUAAAGACCCCUUCAAGUAGGUGAAUUGGUUGGGAUGUGUUCAUGUUGGGUUAUGUGUCAGAAUGUAAGAUACGAUCACUGCAUAUGGGUAUGUGAUUGUUACUAUCUUUGUACUAGCUUUGUCUUCUGAAUAGUAGAUUUCCUAGGUUUGGUUGC
Long non-coding RNA from Alnus glutinosa, 1142 nucleotides. RefSeq lists it as uncharacterized. Lineage: Eukaryota; Viridiplantae; Streptophyta; Magnoliopsida; Fagales; Betulaceae. The transcript has 4 exons. The record is from RefSeq and is a predicted model, not a curated record.